Molecule: small RNA, 102 nt
Filed under: Epilithonimonas mollis
Lineage: Bacteria; Pseudomonadati; Bacteroidota; Flavobacteriia; Flavobacteriales; Weeksellaceae
Description: Chryseobacterium molle Flavo-1 RNA
Rfam family: Flavo-1 RNA
Source: RNAcentral
CAAUAGCCCCGAUUGCAGUGGAAAUCCUUUUUUGCUUCUGCUCAAAUUUAUUUUGAUAAAAUGUUCCGGCAAAAAAGAUUGCAACGGAAAGCGGGAAACAGC